This 253-nucleotide ribosomal RNA is filed under the name uncultured bacterium. Its description in RNAcentral is "partial 16S ribosomal RNA". It matches the Rfam family "Bacterial small subunit ribosomal RNA", at positions 524 to 776 of the family's 1533-position model. The record is from RNAcentral.
UACGUAGGGGGCAAGCGUUGUCCGGAAUCAUUGGGCGUAAAGCGCGUGUAGGCGGCCCGGUAAGUCCGCUGUGAAAGUCCAGGGCUCAACCCUGGGAUGCCGGUGGAUACUGUCGGGCUCGAGUCCGGAAGAGGCGAGUGGAAUUCCUGGUGUAGCGGUGAAAUGCGCAGAUAUCAGGAGGAACACCAAUGGCGAAGGCAGCUCGCUGGGACGGUACUGACGCUGAGGCGCGAAAGCGUGGGGAGCAAACAGG